Molecule: ribosomal RNA, 254 nt
Filed under: uncultured bacterium
Lineage: Bacteria
Description: partial 16S ribosomal RNA
Rfam family: Bacterial small subunit ribosomal RNA
Source: RNAcentral
UACAGCGGGUGCGAGCGUUGUUCGGAAUUACUGGGCGUAAAGCGCGCGCAGGCGGCUCUUUAAGUCUCGUGGUCAAAUGCCGGGGCUCAACCCCGAGCGUGCCGGGGAUACUGGAGGGCUGGAGACAGGUAGAGGCAAGCGGAAUUCCGGGUGUAGCGGUGGAAUGCGUAGAGAUCCGGAAGAACACCGGAGGCGAAGGCGGCUUGCUGGACCUGGUCUGACGCUGAGGCGCGAAAGCGUGGGGAGCGAACAGG